GUGGGGAAUAUUGGACAAUGGGCGCAAGCCUGAUCCAGCCAUGUCGCGUGAGUGAUGAAGGCCUUAGGGUUGUAAAGCUCUUUCACCGAUGAAGAUAAUGACGGUAGUCGGAGAAGAAGCCCCGGCUAACUUCGUGCCAGCAGCCGCGGUAAUACGAAGGGGGCUAGCGUUGUUCGGAUUUACUGGGCGUAAAGCGCACGUAGGCGGUUUGUUAAGUCAGAGGUGAAAUCCCGGAGCUCAACUCCGGAACUGCCUUUGAUACUGGCAAGCUAGAGUCCGGAAGAGGUAAGUGGAACUCCUAGUGUAGAGGUGGAAUUCGUAGAUAUUAGGAAGAACACCAGUGGCGAAGGCGGCUUACUGGUCCGGAACUGACGCUGAGGUGCGAAAGCGUGGGGAGCAAACAGGAUUAGAAACCCGAGUAGUCC
RNAcentral lists this ribosomal RNA (425 nucleotides) under uncultured bacterium. Its description in RNAcentral is "partial 16S ribosomal RNA". It matches the Rfam family "Bacterial small subunit ribosomal RNA", at positions 354 to 796 of the family's 1533-position model. The record is from RNAcentral.